RNAcentral lists this ribosomal RNA (484 nucleotides) under uncultured bacterium. RNAcentral's name for it is "partial 16S ribosomal RNA". It matches the Rfam family "Bacterial small subunit ribosomal RNA", at positions 30 to 507 of the family's 1533-position model. The record is from RNAcentral.
AUUGAACGCUGGCGGCAGGCCUAACACAUGCAAGUCGAGCGGAUGAAGGGAGCUUGCUCCUGGAUUCAGCGGCGGACGGGUGAGUAAUGCCUAGGAAUCUGCCUGGUAGUGGGGGAUAACGUCCGGAAACGGGCGCUAAUACCGCAUACGUCCUGAGGGAGAAAGUGGGGGAUCUUCGGACCUCACGCUAUCAGAUGAGCCUAGGUCGGAUUAGCUAGUUGGUGGGGUAAAGGCCUACCAAGGCGACGAUCCGUAACUGGUCUGAGAGGAUGACCAGUCACACUGGAACUGAGACACGGUCCAGACUCCUACGGGAGGCAGCAGUGGGGAAUAUUGGACAAUGGGCGAAAGCCUGAUCCAGCCAUGCCGCGUGUGUGAAGAAGGUCUUCGGAUUGUAAAGCACUUUAAGUUGUGAGGAAGGGCAGUAAGUUAAUACCUUGCUGUUUUGACGUUACCAACAGAAUAAGCACCGGCUAACUUCGUG